This 77-nucleotide transfer RNA is filed under the name Saprospiraceae bacterium. Its description in RNAcentral is "tRNA-Asn". It matches the Rfam family "tRNA". From Rfam's summary of the family: Transfer RNA (tRNA) molecules are approximately 80 nucleotides in length. The record is from RNAcentral. Lineage: Bacteria; Pseudomonadati; Bacteroidota; Saprospiria; Saprospirales; Saprospiraceae.
GCCUCAGUAGCUCAGUUGGUUAGAGCGGCGGACUGUUAAUCCGUAGGUCGUAGGUUCGAGCCCUACCUGAGGCGCCA